RNAcentral lists this long non-coding RNA (253 nucleotides) under Phoenix dactylifera (date palm). RNAcentral's name for it is "long non-coding RNA (PDAC_LNC013070)". The record is from RNAcentral. Lineage: Eukaryota; Viridiplantae; Streptophyta; Magnoliopsida; Arecales; Arecaceae.
AUGAAAGGUGGUUACUUAAUUAGGACCUUACUCUCUGAGUAAGGGGAGCCUCCCACCUGCUUACCUGGUCAAUUGUUCGAUUACCUCUUAUGAAGAGCUCAAGUUGCAAACACUAAGACCUGAUUAAUCAAUAUUAAGUCAAUAGGUCUUCCACUGUAGUAGAGCUGCUAAGAUCUUUCUGAUGUUGAUUUGUCUCGGCUGGACACAGUGGGCAAGUUGCAUCAGGGGGCUAGACCUCUCUAUAGACAUGAGA